UGGGGAAUAUUGGACAAUGGACCGAGAGUCUGAUCCAGCAAUUCUGUGUGCACGAUGAAGUUUUUCGGAAUGUAAAGUGCUUUCAGUUGGGAAGAAAGAAAUGACGGUACCAACAGAAGAAGUGACGGCUAAAUACGUGCCAGCAGCCGCGGUAAUACGUAUGUCACGAGCGUUAUCCGGAUUUAUUGGGCGUAAAGCGCGUCUAGGUGGUUAUGUAAGUCUGAUGUGAAAAUGCAGGGCUCAACUCUGUAUUGCGUUGGAAACUGUAUAACUAGAGUACUGGAGAGGUAAGCGGAACUACAAGUGUAGAGGUGAAAUUCGUAGAUAUUUGUAGGAAUGCCGAUGGGGAGGCCAGCUUACUGGACAGAUACUGACGCUAAAGCGCGAAAGCGUGGGUAGCAAACAGG
RNAcentral lists this ribosomal RNA (407 nucleotides) under bacterium. RNAcentral's name for it is "partial 16S ribosomal RNA". It matches the Rfam family "Bacterial small subunit ribosomal RNA", at positions 355 to 776 of the family's 1533-position model. The record is from RNAcentral.